GGAAACGCGGGGCCGUGUGCCGGGGUAAACCGUGGGGUGGAAGCGUUAAUCUGAAUGCAUGGGCGUAAAUGUGACGCAGGCGGUUUGAUAAGUUAGGUGUGGAAGCCCCGGGCUCAACCUGGGAAUUGCAUUUAAAACUGUCCAGCUAGGGUCUUGUAGAGGGGGGUAGAAUUCCAGGUGUAGCGGUGAAAUGCGUAGAGAUCUGGAGGAAUACCGGUGGCGAAGGCGGCCCCCUGGACAAAGACUGACGCUCAGGUGCGAAAGCGUGGGGAGCAAACAGGAUUAGAUACCCUUGUAGUC
This 300-nucleotide ribosomal RNA is filed under the name uncultured Oceanicola sp. RNAcentral's name for it is "bacterial SSU rRNA". It matches the Rfam family "Bacterial small subunit ribosomal RNA", at positions 496 to 795 of the family's 1533-position model. Lineage: Bacteria; Pseudomonadati; Pseudomonadota; Alphaproteobacteria; Rhodobacterales; Roseobacteraceae. The record is from RNAcentral.